This 1353-nucleotide long non-coding RNA is filed under the name Oryctolagus cuniculus (rabbit). RNAcentral's name for it is "lncRNA (ENSOCUG00000039184.1)". The record is from RNAcentral. Lineage: Eukaryota; Metazoa; Chordata; Mammalia; Lagomorpha; Leporidae.
AUGAAAAAAAAAAAAUCUUCACUCCCUUCCAAAGUCAAAAUAGCUGAGUUCCCCCAGCACAGCUCAGGCUCCCUGUCACCGAGCCUAACUCCUCGUAGAGCAGCGCACAGGCUGCGGAGACAACGAGGAAAGCGUUGCCCACCCUGCCCGCCUCCCUUACCUGCCGUCUGCCCACGCCGCGCCCGAAGCGCACAGCACCGCUGUGCUCCGCGCUCCCCCGGGCCGCGCCGCGCCGCGCCAGGAGUGGGAGACGUGCGUGUCACAUUUUAUUCCCCGGCAAGCCAGCCGCUCGCUCGGGCGCGCGCACUCUCACGGACGCCCUCUGGAGCAGGGACAACCCCCCGCCCCGGUGGGGGGCGCCGCGGAAGUUGGGGGCUGCAGACUCCCUCCGAGCGCGCGGCUCCGGUCCUGCUGCCAGCGACCCCGCGCUCGCGUCCCGGGCGCCCAGCGGGAUCAGUCCCCCGAGCCGAGGCUGCUCCGCACAGCCGGCAGCUGCAGGCGCGGGCGGCGGGGCGCGGCGGGCGGCUCGGCCUCGGAGCCGGCGCGGGGCUGCGCUCUGCCCGGUGCCGCGCACCUCAUUGUUCCUGGCAUCGGCGGCGGCGCGGGCGGCUGGAGGGACCAAGGCCCCCCAGCUCCGGGACAAGGCGGCGGCUCCCGGCCUGGGCGCGGAGGCUGUGCCGCGCCCCGCCCCCAAGCUGCGCGCACCCCCUCGCCCUCCCCUCCCCCGUCGUCUCCAGCCUCCCCCCUCCUGGCCUGGGCUCACCUAGCGGGUGGGCAGCGGGCACUGGGAAGUUGCACUGCCCCCCUCCCCGCGCCCUGGGCCCGACAGCUCGGACCGCGGGCGAGCGCAGGCGGGGCGCCCCCCGGCUACGCGCCGAGCCCUGCCUCUUGCGGAGAGUGAUUGCAGACUUGGGCUGCGUGGGGCGGCGCGGUUGCCUAAAAAGGCAUGUUUCUCCCCAGCCGCCGCCUCCACCCACCCCUAGUUCCUCCGUGGGUUACCUGCACAGCCCCUGCCUGGCACCGCGCCUAGCACCCGAGUACCACUGGAGUCCCCGCUGGCAGCUGGGAUGCAGGAAUGCGAACGGGCUGUGUAUAGAGGGGAGGAGAGCCCGGGAGCCUGGACCCGCGGAAGUCAGUCUUUGUGUCCCCAGCUCCAACACACACCCUCCCGCAGCUUCCAAGGCCCGGCUACCUGCGCGCCAGGCAGCGCCCAGGAGGCGGCCGGGCGGGGCGCGGGGCAGCACAGCAUCCUCCCCGGCCCGCUCUCUCCCUUUGUUCCACCAAGCUCGCCCGGCUCCGCGCUGCCUCCGGGCCCUCGCUCGCCGGAGCUUCUCCAAGGCGUCCGAGGAUUGA